RNAcentral lists this small nuclear RNA (109 nucleotides) under Cyprinodon variegatus (sheepshead minnow). Its description in RNAcentral is "U5 spliceosomal RNA (ENSCVAG00000002034.1)". It matches the Rfam family "U5 spliceosomal RNA". From Rfam's summary of the family: U5 RNA is a component of both types of known spliceosome. The record is from Rfam by way of RNAcentral. Lineage: Eukaryota; Metazoa; Chordata; Actinopteri; Cyprinodontiformes; Cyprinodontidae.
GCUCUUGUUUCUCUUCAGAUCAUAUAAAUCUUUUGCCUUUUACAAAAGAUUUCCAUGCAGGGAAACAACAAGAGUUAUCUGAAUAUUUUGAUGCCCUACUGAGAGGUCG